GUUCCUGUAGUUGAGAACAACAGUGGCUUUUCAACCGUUAGGUCCUUGGGGUUUAAUCCAAGCGGGAAUA
This 70-nucleotide transfer RNA is filed under the name Perdix hodgsoniae (Tibetan partridge). RNAcentral describes it as "tRNA-Glu". The record is from RNAcentral. Lineage: Eukaryota; Metazoa; Chordata; Aves; Galliformes; Phasianidae.